UGAGGAAUAUUGGUCAAUGGUCGCAAGACUGAACCAGCCAUGCCGCGUGCAGGAAGACGGUCCUAUGGAUUGUAAACUGCUUUUAUACAGGAAGAAACCCUCCCACGUGUGGGAGCUUGACGGUACUGUAGGAAUAAGGAUCGGCUAACUCCGUGCCAGCAGCCGCGGUAAUACGGAGGAUCCAAGCGUUAUCCGGAAUCAUUGGGUUUAAAGGGUCCGUAGGCGGUCUUAUAAGUCAGUGGUGAAAGCCCAUCGCUCAACGAUGGAACUGCCAUUGAUACUGUAAGACUUGAAUGCUUAGGAAGUAACUAGAAUAUGUAGUGUAGCGGUGAAAUGCUUAGAUAUUACAUGGAAUACCAAUUGUGAAGGCAGGUUACUACUAAGUGAUUGACGCUGAUGGACGAAAGCGUGGGGAGCGAACAGGAUUAGAUACCCUGGUAGUCCACGCCGUAAACGAUGGAUACUAGCUGUUCGGCGCAAGUUGAGUGGCUAAGCGAAAGUGAUAAGUAUCCCACCUGGGGAGUACGCACGCAAGUGUGAAACUCAAAUGAAUUGACGGGGUCAUAGCUGUUUCCUG
This 577-nucleotide ribosomal RNA is filed under the name uncultured bacterium. RNAcentral describes it as "partial 16S ribosomal RNA". It matches the Rfam family "Bacterial small subunit ribosomal RNA", at positions 355 to 1376 of the family's 1533-position model. The record is from RNAcentral.